AGAGGGGUGCGAGCGUUAAUCGGAAUGACUGGGCGUAAAGGGCGCGUAGGUGGGGUUAUAUAAGAGAGAUGUAAAAGUCCUGGGGCUUAACCUGGGAAGGCCAUCUGAGACUGUAUAACUAGAGAGCAGUAGAGGUAAGAGGAAUUUCCGGUGUAGCGGUGAAAUGCGUAGAGAUCGGAAGGAACACCAGAGGCGAAGGCGACUUACUGGACUGCAUCUGACACUGAGGCGCGAAAGCGUGGGGAGCGAACAGGAUUAGAUACCCUGGUAGUCCACGCCGUAAACGAUGAGAACUAGCCGUUGGUUUCGUAAAGGAAUCAGUGGCGCAGCUAACGCAUUAAGUUCUCCGCCUGGGGAGUACGGCCGCAAGGUUA
This 374-nucleotide ribosomal RNA is filed under the name uncultured organism. RNAcentral describes it as "partial 16S ribosomal RNA". It matches the Rfam family "Bacterial small subunit ribosomal RNA", at positions 526 to 896 of the family's 1533-position model. The record is from RNAcentral.